CAAAGACCCAGCGGUGGGGAGCAAUCAAUGGGCUUACUGGCUACAGGCUUAGCACACAACCUGACCUAGAAGGAGCAUCAAGGAGGGAGGGUCAGCCCUGGGAUCAGGAGACCCCAAGGCAUAAGUCAGGAUGUGUGGGUACCUGUUUUGUCUCAAAGACACAACAGAGCUUCAGGCACUCACCAUCCCAAUUUUUAUCUCCCAGGAGGAGACAGAAUUCAGGCCCAAGCAGCAGGUUGGCCCUGGAGAGCUAGGGCGAAUAGCAAAGCUGUGAGGUCUCAUCUUCUAGACUUGAGCCCCCAGGUUCCGGCGCCAGAAGGCAGAGAGCGAAUUCAGGACUCUAAAAUACUCAGCCUCUGUAGAGCUCAGUUCAUGGAACGGAAGGCCCAGGAGCCUCCCUCACCACCAACGAUGGAGAACGGCACACGGUCCUGUGAAGAGCGCCCACCCGCGGCCCCGGUCGCGACUGUCACCGAGGGCGCCGCCAGAAUCU
Molecule: long non-coding RNA, 493 nt
Filed under: Rattus norvegicus (Norway rat)
Lineage: Eukaryota; Metazoa; Chordata; Mammalia; Rodentia; Muridae
Description: long non-coding RNA NONRATT014137
Source: RNAcentral